RNAcentral lists this ribosomal RNA (1385 nucleotides) under Rhodotorula toruloides. Its description in RNAcentral is "LSU rRNA". The stretch from base 273 to 1385 matches the Rfam family "Eukaryotic large subunit ribosomal RNA", at positions 1 to 1135 of the family's 3401-position model. Lineage: Eukaryota; Fungi; Basidiomycota; Microbotryomycetes; Sporidiobolales; Sporidiobolaceae. The record is from RNAcentral.
AUUUAAUUUUGGCACCCCCCGGGCCCCCAAUUUUUUGGGGGAACCCCUUUGUGAGGGAAAAAUUUUUCCAACCCCCUCUUUUUUUUAUGGAACCGGCGGGUUUGGAUUUGGAGGUGGGGGUUUCGGGCCUAAGUCCUUUUAAAACCAUUACCUCCCCAAUAGAAUUUGGGAAUGACUCGGCGUAAAAGACUUUUCGCGGAGGAUUUUGGUCUUUGACUGGACCCGGGUAAGAUUAAAGGAAGCUACCAAUCCUCCAGGUCUAUCUUUGAGAUUAGCCUCAAAUCAGGUAGGAUACCCGCUGAACUUAAGCAUAUCAAUAACGGAGGAAAGAAACUAACAAGGAUUCCCCUAGUAGCGGCGAGCGAAGCGGGAAGAGCUCAAAUUUGUAAUCUGGCACCUUCGGUGUCCGAGUUGUAAUCUCUAGAAGUGUUUUCCGCGUUGGACCGCACACAAGUCUGUUGGAAUACAGCGGCAUAGUGGUGAUACCCCAUUACCACGGUGCGGACGCCCAGCGCUUUGUGAUACACUUUCGACGAGUCGAGUUGUUUGGGAAUGCAGCUCAAAUUGGGUGGUAAAUUCCAUCUAAAGCUAAAUAUUGGCGAGAGACCGAUAGCGAACAAGUACCGUGAGGGAAAGAUGAAAAGCACUUUGGAAAGAGAGUUAAAAGUACGUGAAAUUGUUGGAAGGGAAACGCUUGAAGUCAGACUUGCUUGCCGGGCUUGCUCGGUUUGCAGGCCAGCAUCAGUUUUCUGGGACGGAUAAUGGCAGUUAGAAUGUAGCAGUCUCGGCUGUGUUAUAGCUUUCUGCUGGAUACGUCCUGGGGGACUGAGGAACGCAGCGUGCCGUAUGGCGAGGGCUUUGGUCCUUUCACGCUUAGGAUGCUGGUGGAAUGGCUUUAAACGACCCGUCUUGAAACACGGACCAAGGAGUCUAACAUGCUUGCGAGUAUUUGGGUGUCAAACCCGGAUGCGUAAUGAAAGUGAAUGGAGGUGGGAAGCGCAAGCUGCACCAUCGACCGAUCUGGAUUUUCUAAGAUGGAUUUGAGUAAGAGCACGUAUGUUGGGACCCGAAAGAUGGUGAACUAUGCCUGAAUAGGGCGAAGCCAGAGGAAACUCUGGUGGAGGCUCGUAGCGGUUCUGACGUGCAAAUCGAUCGUCAAAUUUGGGUAUAGGGGCGAAAGACUAAUCGAACCAUCUAGUAGCUGGUUCCUGCCGAAGUUUCCCUCAGGAUAGCAGAAACUCACAUCAGUUCUAUGAGGUAAAGCGAAUGAUUAGAGGCCUUGGGGUUGAAACAACCUUAACCUAUUCUCAAACUUUAAAUGUGUAGGAAGUCCUUGCUACUUAAUUGAGCGAGGACAUGCGAAUGAGAGUUGCUAGGGGGGCCCC